This is a small nucleolar RNA of Suncus etruscus (white-toothed pygmy shrew), 103 nucleotides long. RefSeq annotates it as small nucleolar RNA U13. The transcript has a single exon. Lineage: Eukaryota; Metazoa; Chordata; Mammalia; Eulipotyphla; Soricidae. The record is from RefSeq and is a predicted model, not a curated record.
AUCUUUUCUGGUUCAUAAGCAUGAUGAGUGGGUUUUCACAUAUUUGUGUGAUUUCUGCCUCCUUUAAAUUUUGUUAUGACGUUGGCACAUUACCCUUCUGAUG